CUCAUCUGAAUUAACAGAGGGAUCAGAGACUGAAGAUGACGAAUAUGAGAAGGAACAUGAGGGACAUCAUUCUAAAUCCCAUGUGCAUCGAACGCUAAAUCCAGAGGAACGUCUCUUCCUGGUGGCGGAGUCAAGUCUGCGAGAGCUCCUGUCACAGUGUCCUUGUGGCAGCAGCGAUGCUGAAACAGACAUCUCAACAAGGGGCACAUGGCUGAGAGCAGCAACAGCUUGCAGCUGUGGGAAACUGCGUACAUG
Long non-coding RNA from Ornithodoros turicata, 255 nucleotides. RefSeq lists it as uncharacterized. The record is from RefSeq and is a predicted model, not a curated record. The transcript is spliced from 3 exons. Lineage: Eukaryota; Metazoa; Arthropoda; Arachnida; Ixodida; Argasidae.